AACGAACGCUGGCGGCAUGCCUAACACAUGCAAGUCGAACGAGACCUUCGGGUCUAGUGGCGCACGGGUGCGUAACGCGUGGGAACCUGCCCUUAGGUUCGGAAUAACUCCCCGAAAGGGGUGCUAAUACCGGAUAAUGUCUUCGGACCAAAGAUUUAUCGCCUUUGGAUGGGCCCGCGUUGGAUUAGCUAGUUGGUAGGGUAAAAGCCUACCAAGGCGACGAUCCAUAGCUGGUCUGAGAGGAUGCUCCGCCACACUGGGACUGAGACACGGCCCAGACUCCUACGGGAGGCAGCAGUGGGUAAUAUUGUACACUGGGCGAAAGCCUGAUCCAGCAAUGCCGCGUGAGUGAUGAAGGCCUUAGUGUUGUAAAUCUCUUUUACCCGGGAUGAUAAUGACAGUACCGGGAGAAUAAGCUCCGGCUAACUCCGUG
Molecule: ribosomal RNA, 433 nt
Filed under: uncultured bacterium
Lineage: Bacteria
Description: partial 16S ribosomal RNA
Rfam family: Bacterial small subunit ribosomal RNA
Source: RNAcentral